GACGGACGCUGGCGGUGUGCUUAACACAUGCAAGUCGAACGGUAAGGCCCUUUCGGGGGUACACGAGUGGCGCACGGGUGAGUAACACGUGAGUAACCUGCCCUCAUCUCUGGGAUAACAGUCGGAAACGGUUGCUAAUACUGGAUAUGAGCUUGCAAGGCAUCUUGUGGGUUGGAAAGAUUUUUUUGGUUGGAGAUGGACUCGCGGCCUAUCAGCUUGUUGGUGAGGUAGUGGCUCACCAAGGCUUCGACGGGUAGCCGGCCUGAGAGGGCGACCGGCCACAUUGGGACUGAGAUACGGCCCAAACUCCUACGGGAGGCAGCAGUGGGGAAUAUUGCACAAUGGACGGAAGUCUGAUGCAGCAACGCCGCGUGCGGGAUGACGGCCUUCGGGUUGUAAACCGCUUUCAAUUGUGACGAAGCUUUUUGUGACGGUAGCAGUAGAAGAAGCACCGGCUAACUACGUG
This 466-nucleotide ribosomal RNA is filed under the name uncultured bacterium. Its description in RNAcentral is "partial 16S ribosomal RNA". It matches the Rfam family "Bacterial small subunit ribosomal RNA", at positions 28 to 507 of the family's 1533-position model. The record is from RNAcentral.